UUUUAACGGCCGCGGUAUAUUGACCGUGCAAAGGUAGCAUAAUCAUUAGUCUUUUAAUAGGGGGCUGGAAUGAAAGGUUUAACGAAUCAUUAAUUGUCUCAUUUUUAUAUCUUAAAAUUUAAUUUUUAAGUUAAAAAGCUUAAAUUUUAUUGAAGGACGAGAAGACCCUAUAGAGCUUUAUAUUAUUUUGUUUAUUAUAGUAUUGUUUUAUAUUUAAAGUAUUAAAUUAUUUGGUAUUUUGUUGGGGUGACAGAAAUAAAUAAUUAACUUUUUUGUUUUUUAAACAUUGAUGUAUGAAUUGUUGAUCCUUCAUUGUUGAUUAUUAGAUUAAGUUACCUUAGGGAUAACAGCGUAAUCCUUUUUUGGAGUUCAAAUUUACAAAAGGGCUUGCGACCUCGAUGUUGGAUUAAGAUUAUAAUUUGGUGGAGUAGCUAAAUUAAUAGGUCUGUUCGACCUUUAAAUUCUUACAUGAUCUGAGU
This 479-nucleotide ribosomal RNA is filed under the name Platycnemis phyllopoda. RNAcentral's name for it is "partial 16S ribosomal RNA". It matches the Rfam family "Bacterial large subunit ribosomal RNA", at positions 1922 to 2610 of the family's 2925-position model. The record is from RNAcentral. Lineage: Eukaryota; Metazoa; Arthropoda; Insecta; Odonata; Platycnemididae.